RNAcentral lists this ribosomal RNA (253 nucleotides) under uncultured bacterium. RNAcentral describes it as "partial 16S ribosomal RNA". It matches the Rfam family "Bacterial small subunit ribosomal RNA", at positions 524 to 776 of the family's 1533-position model. The record is from RNAcentral.
GACAGGGGUCUCGAGCGUUAAUCGGAAUUACUGGGCUUAAAGGGUGCGUAGGCGGGCCUGAAAGUGCUUUGUGAAAUCCCCCGGCUCAACCGGGGAACUGCGGGGCAUACUGCGGGCCUUGAGGAAGGUAGGCGCCGAGGGAACAGUAGGUGGAGCGGUGAAAUGCGUAGAUAUCUACUGGAACGCCGAUGGUGAAGACGCUCGGCUGGGCCUUUCCUGACGCUGAGGCACGAAAGCGUGGGGAGCAAACAGG